GUCUUUUUGAUAAUAAUUUAAAGUCUAGCCUGCCCGAUGAUGAAUUGAAUGGCCGCGGUAUUUUGACCGUGCUAAGGUAGCAUAAUCAAUAGUUUUUUAAUUGAAAGCUGGAAUGAAGGGUUGGAUAAAAAAAUAACUGUCUUUAUUUAAUUUAAUUAGAAUUUUAUAUUUAAGUUAAAAAGCUUAAAUUUUAUUAAAAGACGAGAAGACCCUAUAGAGUUUAAUAAAUAGUUAUAUUAUUAUAUUUAGAAUUAAUUUUAUUAAUUAUAUUAUUUAUUUAAUUGGGGUGAUUUAAAAAUUAGAUUAACUUUUUUUGUAUUUAAACAUUUUUAAAUGAAUAUUUGAUCCAUAUAUAAUGAUUAUAAGAUAAAAUUACCUUAGGGAUAACAGCGUUAUUUUUUUUUAGAGUUCAAAUCGAAAGAAAAGAUUGCGACCUCGAUGUUGGAUUAAAAUUAAUUUUUGGUGUAGAAGCUAAAACAUUAGGUCUGUUCGACCUUUAAAAUUUUACA
Molecule: ribosomal RNA, 509 nt
Filed under: Linaeidea aenea
Lineage: Eukaryota; Metazoa; Arthropoda; Insecta; Coleoptera; Chrysomelidae
Description: partial 16S ribosomal RNA
Rfam family: Bacterial large subunit ribosomal RNA (bases 383-509)
Source: RNAcentral